This 253-nucleotide ribosomal RNA is filed under the name uncultured bacterium. Its description in RNAcentral is "partial 16S ribosomal RNA". It matches the Rfam family "Bacterial small subunit ribosomal RNA", at positions 524 to 776 of the family's 1533-position model. The record is from RNAcentral.
UACGUAGGGCGCAAGCGUUGUCCGGAAUUAUUGGGCGUAAAGAGCUCGUAGGCGGCUUGUCGCGUCGGAUGUGAAAGCCCGGGGCUUAACUCCGGGUCUGCAUUCGAUACGGGCAGGCUAGAGUUCGGUAGGGGAGAUCGGAAUUCCCGGUGUAGUGGUGAAAUGCGUAGAGAUCGGGAGGAACACCUGUGGCGAAGGCGGCCCCCUGGGCCGGCCCUGACACUGAGACGCGAAGGCGUGGGGAGCGAACGGG